Molecule: ribosomal RNA, 557 nt
Filed under: uncultured bacterium
Lineage: Bacteria
Description: partial 16S ribosomal RNA
Rfam family: Bacterial small subunit ribosomal RNA
Source: RNAcentral
UGGGGAAUCUUCCGCAAUGGACGAAAGUCUGACGGAGCAACGCCGCGUGAGUGAAGAAGGUUUUCGGAUCGUAAAACUCUGUCUUUUGGGGCGAACGUGAGUAUGGUGAACAAUCAUAGUCAGUGACGGUACCAAAGGAGGAAGCCACGGCUAACUACGUGCCAGCAGCCGCGGUAAUACGUAGGUGGCAAGCGUUGUCCGGAAUUAUUGGGCGUAAAGAGCGCGUAGGCGGGAUAGUCAGUCUGUUGUAAAGUGCGGGGCUCAACCCCGUGAUGGCAAUGGAAAGCAGCUAUUCUUGAGUGCAGGAGAGGAAAGUGGAAUUCCCAGUGUAGCGGUGAAAUGCGUAGAUAUUGGGAGGAACACCAGUGGCGAAGGCGACUUUCUGGACUGUGUCUGACGCUGAGGCGCGAAAGCCAGGGGGAGCGAACCGGGAUUAGAUACCCCGGUAGUCCUGGCCGUAAACGAUGGGUACUAGGUGUGGGAGGUAUCGACCCCCUUCCGUGCCGGAGUUAACGCAAUAAGUACCCCGCCUGGGGAGUACGGUCGCAAGACUGAAA